RNAcentral lists this ribosomal RNA (500 nucleotides) under uncultured bacterium. Its description in RNAcentral is "partial 16S ribosomal RNA". It matches the Rfam family "Bacterial small subunit ribosomal RNA", at positions 28 to 507 of the family's 1533-position model. The record is from RNAcentral.
GACGAACGCUGGCGGCGUGCCUAAUACAUGCAAGUCGUGCGGACCUUGUUGAAAGCUUGCUUUUAAAAGGUUAGCGGCGGACGGGUGAGUAACACGUGGGCAACCUGCCUGUAAGACUGGGAUAACGCCGGGAAACCGGGGCUAAUACCAGAUCAUUUUUUCCUCCGCAUGGAGGAAAAAGGAAAGGCGGCUUCGGCUGCCACUUACAGAUGGGCCCGCGGCGCAUUAGCUAGUUGGCGGGGUAAUGGCCCACCAAGGCAACGAUGCGUAGCCGACCUGAGAGGGUGAUCGGCCACAUUGGGACUGAGACACGGCCCAAACUCCUACGGGAGGCAGCAGUAGGGAAUCUUCCGCAAUGGACGAAAGUCUGACGGAGCAACGCCGCGUGAGUGAAGAAGGCCUUCGGGUCGUAAAACUCUGUUGCCGGGGAAGAACAAGUGCCGUUCGAACAGGGCGGCGCCUUGACGGUACCCGGCCAGAAAGCCACGGCUAACUACGUG